Molecule: ribosomal RNA, 490 nt
Filed under: uncultured bacterium
Lineage: Bacteria
Description: bacterial SSU rRNA
Rfam family: Bacterial small subunit ribosomal RNA
Source: RNAcentral
AUCCUGGCUCAGGAUGAACGCUAGCGGCAGGCUUAACACAUGCAAGUCGAGGGGUAUAGUUCUUCGGAACUAGAGACCGGCGCACGGGUGCGUAACGCGUAUGCAAUCUACCUUUUGCAGAGGGAUAGCCCAGAGAAAUUUGGAUUAAUACCUCAUAGUAUAGCAGUUUCGCAUGAAACCACUAUUAAAGUCACAACGGCAAAAGAUGAGCAUGCGUCCCAUUAGCUAGUUGGUAAGGUAACGGCUUACCAAGGCUACGAUGGGUAGGGGUCCUGAGAGGGAGAUCCCCCACACUGGUACUGAGACACGGACCAGACUCCUACGGGAGGCAGCAGUGAGGAAUAUUGGACAAUGGGCGCAAGCCUGAUCCAGCCAUGCCGCGUGCAGGAUGACGGUCCUAUGGAUUGUAAACUGCUUUUGUAUAGGAAGAAACACUCCCUCGUGAGGGAGCUUGACGGUACUGUAAGAAUAAGGAUCGGCUAACUCCGUG